RNAcentral lists this ribosomal RNA (497 nucleotides) under uncultured bacterium. RNAcentral's name for it is "partial 16S ribosomal RNA". It matches the Rfam family "Bacterial small subunit ribosomal RNA", at positions 28 to 507 of the family's 1533-position model. The record is from RNAcentral.
GAUGAACGCUGGCGGCAUGCUUAAUACAUGCAAGUCGAGCGAACGGACGGGAAUUUUCUUUCUCUGAGGUUAGCGACGGAUGGGUGACUAACACGUAGCUAACCUACCUGUUAGACUGGGCUAACUUCGGGGAACGGUAGCUACUACCGGAAAAUAUUUAGAACCGCAUGGAUCUAUGGUAAAAGUCAGUCUUGCUAUCACUUUUAGAUUGAUCCGCGCUGCUUUAGCUGGUUGGUAAGGUCACGGCCUACGAAGGCAACGAGGCCUAGCAGCACGGAGAGGGUGAUCAGCCACACUGGGACUGAGACACGGUCCAGACUCCCACGGGAGGCAGCAGUAGGGAAUCUUCCGGAAGGGGCGAAAGCCUGACGGAGCAACGCCGAGAGAGUGAUGAAGGUCUUCGGAUCGUAAAACUCUGUUAUUAGGGAAGAACAGUUGUGUAAGUAACUGUGAACGUCUUGACGGUACCUAAUCAAAAAGCCACGGCUAACUACGUG